RNAcentral lists this ribosomal RNA (2396 nucleotides) under Escherichia coli. RNAcentral's name for it is "partial 23S ribosomal RNA". It matches the Rfam family "Bacterial large subunit ribosomal RNA", at positions 469 to 2843 of the family's 2925-position model. The record is from RNAcentral. Lineage: Bacteria; Pseudomonadati; Pseudomonadota; Gammaproteobacteria; Enterobacterales; Enterobacteriaceae.
AAUACUCCUGACUGACCGAUAGUGAACCAGUACCGUGAGGGAAAGGCGAAAAGAACCCCGGCGAGGGGAGUGAAAAAGAACCUGAAACCGUGUACGUACAAGCAGUGGGAGCACAGAGCAAUCUGUGUGACUGCGUACCUUUUGUAUAAUGGGUCAGCGACUUAUAUUCUGUAGCAAGGUUAACCGAAUAGGGGAGCCGAAGGGAAACCGAGUCUUAACUGGGCGUUAAGUUGCAGGGUAUAGACCCGAAACCCGGUGAUCUAGCCAUGGGCAGGUUGAAGGUUGGGUAACACUAACUGGAGGACCGAACCGACUAAUGUUGAAAAAUUAGCGGAUGACUUGUGGCUGGGGGUGAAAGGCCAAUCAAACCGGGAGAUAGCUGGUUCUCCCCGAAAGCUAUUUAGGUAGCGCCUCGUGAAUUCAUCUCCGGGGGUAGAGCACUGUUUCGGCAAGGGGGUCAUCCCGACUUACCAACCCGAUGCAAACUGCGAAUACCGGAGAAUGUUAUCACGGGAGACACACGGCGGGUGCUAACGUCCGUCGUGAAGAGGGAAACAACCCAGACCGCCAGCUAAGGUCCCAAAGUCAUGGUUAAGUGGGAAACGAUGUGGGAAGGCCCAGACAGCCAGGAUGUUGGCUUAGAAGCAGCCAUCAUUUAAAGAAAGCGUAAUAGCUCACUGGUCGAGUCGGCCUGCGCGGAAGAUGUAACGGGGCUAAACCAUGCACCGAAGCUGCGGCAGCGACGCUGAUGCGUUGUUGGGUAGGGGAGCGUUCUGUAAGCCUGUGAAGGUGUGCUGUGAGGCAUGCUGGAGGUAUCAGAAGUGCGAAUGCUGACAUAAGUAACGAUAAAGCGGGUGAAAAGCCCGCUCGCCGGAAGACCAAGGGUUCCUGUCCAACGUUAAUCGGGGCAGGGUGAGUCGACCCCUAAGGCGAGGCCGAAAGGCGUAGUCGAUGGGAAACAGGUUAAUAUUCCUGUACUUGGUGUUACUGCGAAGGGGGGACGGAGAAGGCUAUGUUGGCCGGGCGACGGUUGUCCCGGUUUAAGCGUGUAGGCUGGUUUUCCAGGCAAAUCCGGAAAACUAAGGCUGAGGCGUGAUGACGAGGCACUACGGUGCUGAAGCAACAAAUGCCCUGCUUCCAGGAAAAGCCUCUAAGCAUCAGGUAACAUCAAAUCGUACCCCAAACCGACACAGGUGGUCAGGUAGAGAAUACCAAGGCGCUUGAGAGAACUCGGGUGAAGGAACUAGGCAAAAUGGUGCCGUAACUUCGGGAGAAGGCACGCUGAUAUGUAGGUGAAGUCCCUCGCGGAUGGAGCUGAAAUCAGUCGAAGAUACCAGCUGGCUGCAACUGUUUAUUAAAAACACAGCACUGUGCAAACACGAAAGUGGACGUAUACGGUGUGACGCCUGCCCGGUGCCGGAAGGUUAAUUGAUGGGGUCAGCGCAAGCGAAGCUCUUGAUCGAAGCCCCGGUAAACGGCGGCCGUAACUAUAACGGUCCUAAGGUAGCGAAAUUCCUUGUCGGGUAAGUUCCGACCUGCACGAAUGGCGUAAUGAUGGCCAGGCUGUCUCCACCCGAGACUCAGUGAAAUUGAACUCGCUGUGAAGAUGCAGUGUACCCGCGGCAAGACGGAAAGACCCCGUGAACCUUUACUAUAGCUUGACACUGAACAUUGAGCCUUGAUGUGUAGGAUAGGUGGGAGGCUUUGAAGUGUGGACGCCAGUCUGCAUGGAGCCGACCUUGAAAUACCACCCUUUAAUGUUUGAUGUUCUAACGUUGACCCGUAAUCCGGGUUGCGGACAGUGUCUGGUGGGUAGUUUGACUGGGGCGGUCUCCUCCUAAAGAGUAACGGAGGAGCACGAAGGUUGGCUAAUCCUGGUCGGACAUCAGGAGGUUAGUGCAAUGGCAUAAGCCAGCUUGACUGCGAGCGUGACGGCGCGAGCAGGUGCGAAAGCAGGUCAUAGUGAUCCGGUGGUUCUGAAUGGAAGGGCCAUCGCUCAACGGAUAAAAGGUACUCCGGGGAUAACAGGCUGAUACCGCCCAAGAGUUCAUAUCGACGGCGGUGUUUGGCACCUCGAUGUCGGCUCAUCACAUCCUGGGGCUGAAGUAGGUCCCAAGGGUAUGGCUGUUCGCCAUUUAAAGUGGUACGCGAGCUGGGUUUAGAACGUCGUGAGACAGUUCGGUCCCUAUCUGCCGUGGGCGCUGGAGAACUGAGGGGGGCUGCUCCUAGUACGAGAGGACCGGAGUGGACGCAUCACUGGUGUUCGGGUUGUCAUGCCAAUGGCACUGCCCGGUAGCUAAAUGCGGAAGAGAUAAGUGCUGAAAGCAUCUAAGCACGAAACUUGCCCCGAGAUGAGUUCUCCCUGACUCCUUGAGAGUCCUGAAGGAACGUUGAAG